GAUGAAGAACGUAGCGAAAUGCGAUACGUAAUGUGAAUUGCAGAAUUCAGUGAAUCAUCGAAUCUUUGAACGCAUAUUGCGCUCUCUGGUAUUCCGGAGAGCAUGCUUGUUUGAGUAUCAGUAAACACCUCAACUCUUUUUUCUUUUUUGAAAUUGGAGCUGGACUUGAGUGAUCCCAACGCUUUCUUCCAAGAAAGUGGCGGGUUGCUUGAAAUGCAGGUGCAGCUGAACUUUUCUCUGAGCUAUAAGCAUAUCUAUUUAGUCUGCCUAAAAAACAGAUUAUUACCUUUGCUGCAGCUAACAUAAAGGAGACUAGUUCUUGUGCUGACUGAUACAGGAUUCACAGAGACAGCUUCGGCUGACUUUGUAAACUCGAUCUCAAAUCAAGUAAGACUACCCGCUGAACUUAAGCAUAUCAAUAAGCGGAGGA
Molecule: unclassified non-coding RNA, 430 nt
Filed under: soil metagenome
Description: partial contains 5.8S ribosomal RNA, internal transcribed spacer 2, and large subunit ribosomal RNA
Rfam family: 5.8S ribosomal RNA (bases 1-120)
Source: RNAcentral